UGGCCUGGGGAGCAGGGCUUAGCUGCUUGUGAGCAGAGUCCACAGCAAGUCGUGUUCACAGUGGCUAAGUUCCGCCCCCCGG
This is a microRNA precursor of Mustela putorius furo (domestic ferret), 82 nucleotides long. Ensembl annotates it as microRNA 27a. Lineage: Eukaryota; Metazoa; Chordata; Mammalia; Carnivora; Mustelidae. The record is from Ensembl.